This 253-nucleotide ribosomal RNA is filed under the name uncultured bacterium. RNAcentral describes it as "partial 16S ribosomal RNA". It matches the Rfam family "Bacterial small subunit ribosomal RNA", at positions 524 to 776 of the family's 1533-position model. The record is from RNAcentral.
UACGUAGGGUGCGAGCGUUAAUCGGAAUUACUGGGCGUAAAGCGUGCGCAGGCGGCGCGUUAAGACAGGUGUGAAAGCCCCGAGCUUAACUUGGGAAUUGCGCUUGUGACUGGCGUGCUGGAGUGUGGCAGAGGGAGGUGGAAUUCCACGUGUAGCAGUGAAAUGCGUAGAGAUGUGGAGGAACACCGAUGGCGAAGGCAGCCUCCUGGGUCAGCACUGACGCUCAUGCACGAAAGCGUGGGGAGCAAACAGG